GUGGGGAAUUUUGGACAAUGGGCGCAAGCCUGAUCCAGCAAUGCCGCGUGCAGGAAGAAGGCCUUCGGGUUGUAAACUGCUUUUGUACGGAACGAAACGGUCCUGGUUAAUACCUGGGGCUAAUGACGGUACCGUAAGAAUAAGCACCGGCUAACUACGUGCCAGCAGCCGCGGUAAUACGUAGGGUGCAAGCGUUAAUCGGAAUUACUGGGCGUAAAGCGUGCGCAGGCGGUUUUGUAAGACAGGCGUGAAAUCCCCGGGCUCAACCUGGGAAUUGCGCUUGUGACUGCAAGGCUGGAGUGCGGCAGAGGGGGAUGGAAUUCCGCGUGUAGCAGUGAAAUGCGUAGAUAUGCGGAGGAACACCGAUGGCGAAGGCAAUCCCCUGGGCCUGCACUGACGCUCACGCACGAAAGCGUGGGGAGCAAACAGGAUUAGAUACCCCAGUAGUCC
Molecule: ribosomal RNA, 450 nt
Filed under: uncultured bacterium
Lineage: Bacteria
Description: bacterial SSU rRNA
Rfam family: Bacterial small subunit ribosomal RNA
Source: RNAcentral